UACCAGCUGGCUGCAACUGUUUAUUAAAAACACAGCACUGUGCAAACACGAAAGUGGACGUAUACGGUGUGACGCCUGCCCGGUGCCGGAAGGUUAAUUGAUGGGGUCAGCGCAAGCGAAGCUCCUGAUCGAAGCCCCGGUAAACGGCGGCCGUAACUAUAACGGUCCUAAGGUAGCGAAAUUCCUUGUCGGGUAAGUUCCGACCUGCACGAAUGGCGUAAUGAUGGCCAGGCUGUCUCCACCCGAGACUCAGUGAAAUUGAACUCGCUGUGAAGAUGCAGUGUACCCGCGGCAAGACGGAAAGACCCCGUGAACCUUUACUAUAGCUUGACACUGAACACUGGUCCUUGAUGUGUAGGAUAGGUGGGAGGCUUUGAAGUGUGGACGCCAGUCUGCAUGGAGCCAUCCUUGAAAUACCACCCUUUAAUGGCUGGUGUUCUAACGUAGACCCGUAAUCCGGGUUGCGGACAGUGUCUGGUGGGUAGUUUGACUGGGGCGGUCUCCUCCUAAAGAGUAACGGAGGAGCACGAAGGUUGGCUAAUCCUGGUCGGACAUCAGGAGGUUAGUGCAAUGGCAUAAGCCAGCUUGACUGCGAGCGUGACGGCGCGAGCAGGUGCGAAAGCAGGUCAUAGUGAUCCGGUGGUUCUGAAUGGAAGGGCCAUCGCUCAACGGAUAAAAGGUACUCCGGGGAUAACAGGCUGAUACCGCCCAAGAGUUCAUAUCGACGGCGGUGUUUGGCACCUCGAUGUCGGCUCAUCACAUCCUGGGGCUGAAGUAGGUCCCAAGGGUAUGGCUGUUCGCCAUUUAAAGUGGUACGCGAGCUGGGUUUAGAACGUCGUGAGACAGUUCGGUCCCUAUCUGCCGUGGGCGCUGGAGAACUGAGGGGGGCUGCUCCUAGUACGAGAGGACCGGAGUGGACGCAUCACUGGUGUUCGGGUUGUCAUGCCAAUGGCACUGCCCGGUAGCUAAAUGCGGAAGAGAUAAGUGCUGAAAGCAUCUAAGCACGAAACUUGCCCCGAGAUGAGUUCUCCCUGAGACUUAGAGUCUCCUGAAGGAACGUUGAAGACGACGACGUUGAUAGGCCGGGUGUGUAAGCGCAGCGAUGCGUUGAGCUAACCGGUACUAAUGAACCGUGAGGCUUAACCUUACAACGCCGAAG
This 1159-nucleotide ribosomal RNA is filed under the name Salmonella enterica subsp. enterica serovar Mississippi. RNAcentral's name for it is "partial 23S ribosomal RNA". It matches the Rfam family "Bacterial large subunit ribosomal RNA", at positions 1783 to 2925 of the family's 2925-position model. The record is from RNAcentral. Lineage: Bacteria; Pseudomonadati; Pseudomonadota; Gammaproteobacteria; Enterobacterales; Enterobacteriaceae.